Molecule: ribosomal RNA, 399 nt
Filed under: uncultured Gram-positive bacterium
Lineage: Bacteria
Description: bacterial SSU rRNA
Rfam family: Bacterial small subunit ribosomal RNA
Source: RNAcentral
GGGCCCACCUUCCAGGCAUCGAUCAGUAGCCGACCUGAGAGGGUGAUCGGCCACACUGGAACUGAGACACGGUCCAGACUCCUACGGGAGGCAGCAGUGGGGAAUAUUGCACAAUGGGGGAAACCCUGAUGCAGCAACGCCGCGUGAGCGAUGAAGGCUUUCGGGUCGUAAAGCUCUGUCCUAAGGGAAGAAUAGAUGACGGUACCUUAGGAGGAAGCCCCGGCUAACUACGUGCCAGCAGCCGCGGUAAUACGUAAGAGGCAAGCGUUGUCCGGAAUCACUGGGCGUAAAGCGCGUGUAGGUGGUUUGGUAAGUCGGAUGUGAAAUCCCCGGGCUCAACCCGGGAACUGCGUCCGAAACUGCCUCACUAGAGAACAGGAGAGGAGAGUGGAAUUCCCG